GUUAAAAGUUUAAUUAAAAAAUAUAUCCAAAAAAAAUUACAUCAAAGUAAAUUACAUUGUUUUAAUUGAUACUGAUUGCAUGUCCAAAUUACCAAACAUGUAAUUUGGCUCUACUAAAUCAAACCAAGAAAAAUUAGAUUAAUCAGGAAAGAGAGACAAUUUCAAAAAUCAAGAACAAUCAAGCCCUAUAACUGCUACCAAUACAUCAGAAAGAGAGCUAGAACUAAUAGAGAGCUGAAAGCACUAUUAGUUGCGAUUGCCUUGCGACCGUUGUUGGUUGGACGUAUUGUAGGGAGUGCACACUCCUCACCAUUAAAGAAGACUCUCAUAGGAAACCCAUCGCCAUCAGCCACAUCAAUGCCAGGUGUUUUUUUCUUGGUGAAAGAGAGAAUUGACUGCUGUGUGCCAGGAACCCGAGGAUCUUUUCUUGGGUUGGCGCCAUCCAUUUCUGCCACUAGGUAAUUGAAGUCUGGAAGGCCUUGCAUGAAUAUGAUAUUGCUGGAAUUAGGCAGGACACUUCCAUUGAAGGAGUAGGCUUUUUCAAAGCCUGGCCCUGCCUUGUCGAGUUGCACUGCAGCAACCCAAUUUGCAAAAUCAGUGUCACCCCAGUUGAAGAGGGUGAUCCUUGCGGUCCAGCCAUCUCUAUAAUCUGAUAGUAAAUGCCAGUUAAUGCUAACUCCGCAGUUAUUCCCACACGGCAGUGGAUUACGCACAUCCCUCCUUUUCAAUUCUGCCCAUUUCAAAGCUUCAGCAGUCCGGUUCUCAAAUGGGACCAGAAGAGAUUCCGAUGGUAGAAGAAGAGCUGGUUCGUUAGCAUUGCAGGUUUGACUUGGGUUGUUGCAGCCGCAUGCACAGGUGCUACAAGGGACAACAGAAUCAUUGAAAAAAGACGAAAAAGAUACGCAACAUUUUGGGGGCUCCUCCCUGAAACGUGUUAUGUUGCAAGCCACUUGCCAACUAGCUACUGCUUCUGUUCUUGAAGGCAAACCAGUUGGGUCAGGGUACUGGCUUGGGCUCACUUGCAGCGGAGGCCCACAUUGGAAAUUUGAACUGAAUGUGCCAUUAAUCUUCCAGUUCAGUGGUGGAAAGAAUUCUGUCCUGUUCAAGUCUGGCGGCAUCUUGAACACUUGCAUUUGGAAAGCUGAAAGAGACUUACUUGGAUCCAUAUUAGGUGGUAGAAUAGUCCCGUUUCGACAGCAGAAGGGAAUCAAGCCAAUCUGUGUAUCGUUUGCUCUUGUUGGAGGCAAGUCAACGAUUGUAGGGCUCCUCUCACAAUUCAGUGCCUGAGAAAAAUCCAUUUCCUUGUAGUGCUGACCUUGGGGACCAAAAACACAUCCUGUUGUAUCAACAACAGAAGGAUAAGCUCCUUUCAUGGCAUAGAUAAAUUCACCCCUUGUCCAAUCCCAGCUUAAUUUCCAAUUGUCAAGACGUCCGAGAGGAUUAUGGUUCGAGAUAGACACUUGUGCCCAGUAAUCAGUUUCAUAUGUUCUGAUUAUAUCAUACAUGAUUAUAAGGUCACCAUCUUUUCGGGGCUGGAAAUUUUCCAGGGUGAUGUUUGAUGGAGCAUUCAAAUCUCUAGUGCAACACAGUUGCAACUCGUUGCCUGAACACAAGUCACACAAAGAGGAGCAUUAAGCAAAUUCGGAACUCAAGUCACCGAAUAAAGAGGUUGAAAAACCUGACAAGAAGUUUGGAUUUCCUACACACACAUGAUUUGCAUAAAAGAA
This 1727-nucleotide unclassified non-coding RNA is filed under the name Hevea brasiliensis (rubber tree). The record is from RNAcentral. Lineage: Eukaryota; Viridiplantae; Streptophyta; Magnoliopsida; Malpighiales; Euphorbiaceae.